Molecule: microRNA precursor, 109 nt
Filed under: Paramuricea clavata
Lineage: Eukaryota; Metazoa; Cnidaria; Anthozoa; Malacalcyonacea; Plexauridae
Rfam family: mir-598 microRNA precursor family
Source: RNAcentral
UGAUGGUGAUGAUGGUGGUGAUGAUGAUGGUGAUGAUGGUGAUGAUGAUAAUGAGGAUGAUUCAUCACCAUCAUCACCAUCAUCACCAUCAUCACCAUCAUCAUCAUCA